CACCAGGUUGAUUCUGCCUGACGUGGACGCUUGCCUUAAGGAUUAAGCCAUGCAAGCCAGCGAAGAAUUUUCGGAGCGGCGAACGGCUCAGUAGGACAGGUCCAUCUGAUCACGAAGGAGGAUAACCACGGGAAGCUGUGGCUAAUACUAGAGGUGAGUGAGGACCUGGCCUAUCAGCUAGUCGGUACGGUAAGAGCGUACUGAGGCUGUUACGGGUAACGAGGAAUCGGGGUUCGAUUUGGAGAGGGAGCCUGAGAGAUGGCUGCCACGUCCAAGGACGGCAGCAGGCGCGAAACUUACCCACUUGGAGGACCAGAGGUAGUGACGGGGCGUGAUUGAUGAGAGCUUUGUAAAUACAAGUUCGAAAGCAACUGGAGGGCAAGUCUGGUGCCAGCAGCCGCGGUAAUUCCAGCUCCAGGAGCGUCUGUGUGUGUUGCUGCGGUUAAAGGGCGCGUAGUCUGAUUGAAGGCCAACGAUAAAGGUUCAGGUUUCGCCUGAGCAUGACGUUGGAACCGAAAUCUAGAGACCGGAGAGGGACAAUGGUUUUCAGCAGCGAGGGGUGGAAACCGAUAACCUGCUGAGGAGCGACAGAGGCGAAAGCGGUUGUCCAAGACGGGUUUGACGAUCAAGCGCGUGAGCAGGAGUAUUGAAGGCGAUUAGAGACCGUCGUAGUUCCUGCAGUAAACGAUGCCGACAGGAGUGUCAAUGAUGUUUGCUCUAAGGGAAACCGAGUGUAUGGGCUCCGGGGAUAGUACGGGCGCAAGCCGGAAACUUGAAGAAAUU
This 783-nucleotide ribosomal RNA is filed under the name Microsporidium sp. BLAT14. RNAcentral describes it as "SSU rRNA". It matches the Rfam family "Microsporidia small subunit ribosomal RNA", at positions 1 to 788 of the family's 1311-position model. Lineage: Eukaryota; Fungi; Microsporidia. The record is from RNAcentral.